CCUACGGGAGGCUGCAGUGGGGAAUAUUGGACAAUGGGGGGAACCCUGAUCCAGCGACGCCGCGUGAGUGAAGAAGUAUUUCGGUAUGUAAAGCUCUAUCAGCAGGGAAGAAAAUGACGGUACCUGAGUAAGAAGCCCCGGCUAACUACGUGCCAGCAGCCGCGGUAAUACGUAGGGGGCAAGCGUUAUCCGGAUUUACUGGGUGUAAAGGGAGCGUAGACGGCAGUGCAAGUCUGGAGUGAAAGGCGGGGGCUCAACCCCCGGACUGCUCUGGAAACUGUACGGCUGGAGUGCAGGAGAGGUAAGUGGAAUUCCUAGUGUAGCGGUGAAAGGCGUAGAUAUUAGGAGGAACACCAGUGGCGAAGGCGGCUUACUGGACUGUAACUGACGUUGAGGCUCGAAAGCGUGGGGAGCAAACAGGAUUAGAUACCCGUGUAGUC
Molecule: ribosomal RNA, 440 nt
Filed under: uncultured bacterium
Lineage: Bacteria
Description: partial 16S ribosomal RNA
Rfam family: Bacterial small subunit ribosomal RNA
Source: RNAcentral